UGUGUGCCGGGUCCGCUCUCUCCCAGUCCGGACGUUAUUGUGCUUUUCGUUCCGGAAUAGGAGGGUCGGGGGCCGAGGCUUUUUCGCCUUUCCUUCCUCCCCAUGGCUUCCGCAGCUAUGGACCUUAACAGCCUCUGCCGCCUCUGCGGAGCUGCACGGCCACUACCUCGGCUCUAGGACGUGCGCUCCUCUACCAGAAGCCCUUCGGACGGACGGAGGCAAUUAACAAACACUGCAAUGGAAAGCAAGUGCUGUGGCCGCCCCGUGUUCUGCUCCUGGUCAACAAUGUAUACAUUCCUGCUAGGCACCGUAUUCAUUGCCUUAAGUUCAAGUCGAAUCCUACUGGUAAAAUAUUCGGCCAAUGAAGAAAACAAGUAUGAUUAUCUUCCAACUACCGUGAAUGUGUGCUCAGAAUUGGUGAAGCUAGUUUUCUGUGUGCUUGUGUCAUUCUGGGUUGUAAAGAAAGAAGAUCAUCAGAGUAGAAACUUGAGAUGUGCUUCCUGGAAGGAAUUCUGUAAUUUCAUGAAGUGGUCCAUUCCUGCCUUUCUUUAUUUCCUGGAUAAUUUGAUUGUCUUCUAUGUCAUUUCCUACCUUCAGCCUGCCAUGGCUGUUAUCUUCUCAAAUUUUAGCAUUAUAACAACAGCUCUUCUAUUCAGGAUAGUGCUGAAGAGGCAUCUAAGUUGGAUACAAUGGGCUUCCCUCCUGAUUCUGUUCCUGUCCAUUGUGGCUCUCACUGCUGGGACCGAAACGUCCCAGCAUAACCUGGCAGGGCAUGGAUUUCAUCACGAUGCCUUCUUCAGCCCAUCCAAUUCCUGCCUUCUUUUCAGAAGUGAGUGUCCCAGAAAAGACAACUGCACGGAAAAGGCAUGGACUUUUCCUGAAGCUAAGUGGAACACCACAGCCAUGGUUUUUAGCCACAUCCGUCUCGGCUUGGGCCAUGUGCUGAUCAUCGUCCAGUGUUUUAUUUCUUCAAUGGCCAACAUCUAUAAUGAAAAGAUACUGAAGGAAGGGAACCAGCUCACCGAAAGCAUCUUCAUACAGAACAGCAAACUCUAUUUCUUUGGCAUCCUUUUUAAUGGACUGACGCUGGGCCUUCAGGGCAGUAACCGUAAUCAGAUUAAGAACUGCGGAGUUUUCUAUGGCCACAAUGUGUUUUCAGUUGCUCUUAUUUUUGUGACUGCAUUCCAGGGCCUCUCCGUGGCUUUUAUCCUGAAGUUCCUGGAUAACAUGUUCCAUGUCUUGAUGGCCCAGGUCACCACUGUCAUCAUCACAACAGUGUCUGUGCUGGUCUUUGACUUCAGGCCCUCCCUAGAAUUUUUCUUAGAAGCUCCCUCAGUUCUUCUCUCCAUAUUUAUUUACAAAGCCAGCAAGCCUCAAGGUCUGGAAUAUGCACCUAGGCAAGAAAGAGUCCGAGAUCUAGGCGGCAGUCUUUGGGAGCGCUCCUCUGGGGAUGGAGAAGAACUGGAGAGACUUACCAAACCGAAAAGUGAUAUUGAAUCAGAUGAAGAUACUUUUUAAUUGGUACCGAAAUGAUUGACAACUCUCAGAAACCCUUAUUUUCACAUUUUCAGCAUGUGUGAUGUUUAUCUUUUCACUUUGAUAAACAAGAACAUUUCUCAAGCAUAAUAACUGUUUGCAUAUAUCUAACCACUCCCUGAAUAGUUCCAUCCAAGGCUUAGAGUCCCCAAAGGCUAAAAUGUUCUAAAGAACUGAUGGGAGUAAUAGUCUGGAGACUGCAUUAAUGGUACUUGGGAAAGGGUGUUUACAAAUGAAUUAAUGCCACCAUAUUCCCGUGGAUAUGUAGACAACUUCUUAAAUCUGGGAGAGGGAAGUUCCCAGAAGAAACGGUGCUUGCAUUCUAUUGUGGAUCAGGACUUGCCAAAUUUGGGGGCCUCUGCCUACCCUGCCCUACUUUGAAUCUCUAAGGAGUGUUUAUCACAAGGAAAUAAGCUAAAGAUAGAAAAGAGGACUGAAGGAGACAAAUGGAAUGAUGGUGAAGUCUACAGGAGGAAUUUAUUCUUUCUCUAACAUUUUGGGAAGGUAAGCAAGCCUUGCUUCCAAAGAUUGGCAGUCUUCCAGAAGUGGUUUGUUCCCUACCUCUCUGCUUCAAGGAUUUCCUUUUGCACUUUUAGAUUUCUUAGAAAGGGUGGCACCUAUAGCCUACCGGUUGUAGCCUGAGCUGGAAUGGAUCAUGGGAAAGUGGCCUGGAAAAGGGCCAAGUGAGAGGAAAAAGAUUCUUAUGGUGGAGGUGGAAAGCCAAAGAAAAUUUUGCCCAGGGUCAGUUUUAGCUACUUAAAAUCAUCCCAUCCCUUCACCCAACAUCUUUGCCACAUGUAUCAACCGAUAGAUUGGAGGAAUGAAGAUCACUCUUUUGCUUUCUAGAAGGAAAGUGCUAAUAUUUAAGGUCUCUGCAGUCUGUUCAAGGAUAGCCCAGUUUGUUCAACUUCGGGAUAUCAGAGAGGUGAUGCAUGUGGUUGCCACAUUAGGAAAUUGUGUCAGAGAACAAGCAUAUGCCUUGUUGGAGGGACUCCAUCAAUGUUCAGGAUGCUCAGUCCUUGACAGCUUGAAUGUCCUUGGAAGUUCCAUUCUGGCUGUAUGGAGAUGAUGAGGUUUCCUGUGUUCAGAGGUGAUGAACCUGUUGGGUUCAGCUGCCCCAAUGCACCAUGCUGGAAAGAAGUUAUUCAAUAUAUUGCCCUAUUCCCAUAAACAUCUAAAAGUGGAAUCUGAACUAUGAAGUUUGGGUUCUCUAAGAAUUUAACAUUAGCUCUACCAUAGGAAACCUCUGAGUUUAGGAUCCUGCUCCUAAAGGCCAAGAAAGAUUCAUAAACACCAUGGAGUUAGAUGAUAACUUAGAUAUCUAUUACUACUCUCUCAUUUUGUAGAUCAGGAACUGAGUCCCAAAAGUAAAGUGACUUGCCUCAGGUCAGUCACACAGAUCAGUCUGUGGCAGAGUGAGGACCAACCAUUUUCCCAAGUCUGGUGGCCAUUUUAUGACAUUCUUGACUUCUGUGACAGCUGGCCCUUUGCCUCUCACUGCCCUAAACUUGGUUCUUAAUAACAUGUCCAAAACUAAGAAAAGUUUGGCAUUGGGAGAUUUGCACCAACUAUGAGAGAACUGAAGAGAAGUAGUUAGCAUUUAACUGUGCUUCAUUUUGUCAUGAAGUUAAGAGUACUCAUCAACCACACCCCACUAUCUGCACACCCCAAACCAUUGAGUACAGAGCAGCCAAGGAGAAUGGAGGAAAGGAAAGCAAUCCUACAGGGAAAGGGGAGUUAGUAGUGGCAGAAAAACAGAGAUUCUUUUCAAGAGGUUUUUUUUUUCUUUCUGGAAUUUCCUUAUGUUAUUGAAUACUGAGAUCAUCAAUUAGGGGCCGUAAAGCCAUCAUUCACCCUGGUCUUGAGUUGUUUUUUUAUCACCAAGGAUCUACAAGUUGAGAAGGUAUGUGAACUUCAAUGUUAACUAUACUCCAAAAAAUGAGACCAGCUGGAUUCUACUGAUUCCACUGUGUGUGGACUGCCUGCCUCUGUAUCCAGGGAAGGAUCUCUCUGCCGAAUAUUCAUCUCAGAGCCCUGCGAUUUCUCCAGCGAAAAACAAUUCCUGGAAAUUCACGAAAGUGAAUUGUGACAAUCAGCAACUUUGUCCUCCUCAGAGUCUUCCAGAUUUCUCUCACUCUACUGGGUACUUUUUAAUCUAAAUAUUGUAAUUCCAUAAUAAUUCUCAAAAACUUUAUCUUCUUUGUUGCUGCUGUUUGGAAGGAAACACUUUCAUCAAAAAAAAACCAAAAACAAACAAAAAAAAAAAAAACCCCAGAUUUCAAAUGAUCUGAUCUGUACUCCCAGAAGACAGAGAUUCAGGUGAUCUAACUCUCUUAUCCUCCCAUUUACUGAAAUGUACUUUGUGCUUUUCCAGAUUAUAGAAAUCGAGGACAUUUCCCAACAGUGUUUUCCUCUGCAUGUGUCUCAGUCCCUUUGCUGAGCUAUGGCUUAUUCUACAGCACCCAAAUGAUGAUUCAUGGCUUCUAGGCCAUGAAAGGAAAGAGAGUUCAGACACACUGCUAUUUCAGUGCCAGUGAAAAGUAAUCUCAGAUUAUGAAAAAGUAUUGUCUUCUUUGGUUGCCGAAACUAGAACUUUGCUAAUAUUAUUCUUUAAGUAAAUUGUCUAUGAUUAUCCAAUUGGUUUCCUUGGGAGAUGAAACUCCUUCAUUAUUGUAUUUCCUGAAAUCGAGACUAUUUAGACCUCGUACUUAAAAAUUGUCCCUAUAUAAUUUCAGAAGCAAUGGUAAAUAAAUCCAUUUUUUAUUGGCAAUUUUAAGCUAUGCAUCACCUUGGCAAAUAUUUAAGAGCAAGUACAUCAUCCUGGUCCUCCUACCAGCACACUUUGAGCAGCUGGUGUAGACUGUUCUAAAAAGAGAGAGGGGGAUCCCUGGGUGGCACAGCGGUUUAGCACCUGCCUUUGGCCCAAGACGCGAUCCUGGAGACCCGGGAUCGAAUCCCACGUCGGGCUCCCGGUGCAUGGAGCCUGCUUCUUCCUCUGCCUGUGUCUCUGCCUCUCUCUCUCUGUGUGUGACUAU
Molecule: RNA transcript, 4571 nt
Organism: Nyctereutes procyonoides (raccoon dog)
Lineage: Eukaryota; Metazoa; Chordata; Mammalia; Carnivora; Canidae
Gene: SLC35A5
Gene name: solute carrier family 35 member A5
Exons: 9
Source: RefSeq, a predicted model, not a curated record